Molecule: ribosomal RNA, 445 nt
Filed under: uncultured bacterium
Lineage: Bacteria
Description: partial 16S ribosomal RNA
Rfam family: Bacterial small subunit ribosomal RNA
Source: RNAcentral
GUGAGGAAUAUUGGUCAAUGGACGAGAGUCUGAACCAGCCAAGUCGCGUGAAGGAAGACGGUUCUAUGAAUUGUAAACUUCUUUUGUGCAGGAAUAAAGUGGGUUACGUGUAACCUUUUGUAUGUACUGUACGAAUAAGGAUCGGCUAACUCCGUGCCAGCAGCCGCGGUAAUACGGAGGAUCCGAGCGUUAUCCGGAUUUAUUGGGUUUAAAGGGUGCGUAGGUGGAUUGAUAAGUCAGCGGUGAAAGUUUGCAGCUUAACUGUAAAAUUGCCGUUGAAACUGUCGGUCUUGAGUGCAAAUGAGGUAGGCGGAAUGUGUUGUGUAGCGGUGAAAUGCUUAGAUAUAACACAGAACACCGAUUGCGAAGGCAGCUUACUGGGAUGCAACUGACGCUCAUGCACGAAAGCGUGGGGAUCAAACAGGAUUAGAUACCCUAGUAGUCC